CGACCUCAAAUCAGGUAGGACUACCCGCUGAACUUAAGCAUAUCAAUAAGCGGAGGAAAAGAAACUAACAAGGAUUCCCCUAGUAACUGCGAGUGAAGCGGGAAAAGCUCAAAUUUAAAAUCUGGCAGCCUCCGGUUGUCCGAGUUGUAGUCUGGAGAAGCGUUUUCUGUGCUGGACCGUGUACAAGUCCCUUGGAACAGGGCGUCAUAGAGGGUGAGAAUCC
RNAcentral lists this ribosomal RNA (223 nucleotides) under uncultured fungus. RNAcentral's name for it is "partial 28S ribosomal RNA". It matches the Rfam family "Eukaryotic large subunit ribosomal RNA", at positions 1 to 221 of the family's 3401-position model. The record is from RNAcentral. Lineage: Eukaryota; Fungi.